Gambusia affinis (western mosquitofish) is the source of this 1561-nucleotide long non-coding RNA. RefSeq lists it as uncharacterized. The record is from RefSeq and is a predicted model, not a curated record. The transcript has 4 exons. NCBI's taxonomy places the organism in Eukaryota, Metazoa, Chordata, Actinopteri, Cyprinodontiformes, Poeciliidae.
GUUUGAGCACGUUUUUGAGUGUUACAUCGGUUUUACAUUUGUUAAACCGAUGUAACACUCAAAAUUAAUCUUGUGUUUCUUGGAAAACGUAAAAUUAACUGCGGAUGGAUAUGCGGUUUCACACUCCAACGUAUUCUCCUCAUCAGUCCGUUUGCGCGGAAUCUGCAGGUUGACUGUCCUACGAAACAAUCUACUUCAAGAGCAUCAACCUGUGAAGAUCGCCUUUGACGAUUUGAAAAAGGUUGCCAUGGUUACAGAAAUUGGAGGAGUGUCCAGCUGUGCGAGUCCUCAUGCCCCAUGAAUUGGCGGUCCAGUUCAGCCUUUUUGGACGACAUUGGAAACACAAGCUCCGUGACCCGCGUCUCUUUGAAGUUGUGUAUGGGACACUUAAAAGAAAUGGAUCCAUCUACAGAAUCACACAAAGAUAUGGAAAAGGCACUCUCAAAGUGGUUUACUGGAGCCUGUGACUGGUGGAAAUAGGAAAGUUAGAACAACUAGGGAGGCUGUCAGUUCAAACUCAGGUGGGCAGAUCUUUCAAGAUGGACAGUUUCAAUAAUGUAUGAGAGCUUUCUAAGUUUAAGCAUGCAUGUGACAUGAAGGUUAUUCUUAAAAAUGUUUGACAAAACGGUAUUGUGAAAGAUCUAUAUAGCUCUGGGUAUGUAUAUACAUAUAUAUCUACAGUACAGACCAAAAGUUUGGACUCACAGUUGUGUCCAAACUUUUGGUCUGCACUGUAUGUUAUAUAGAUGGUAUUUAGAUUUAUACAUUAAUAUAGAUCUUUACAGAUAUAUGUAGGUGUCUUUAUAUGUGUGCAGCUAUAGAUAUAUGUUCAUUAAUCUAUAUUUAUAGAUCUGUUUAUAUGUUUGUUAUAGUAAACUAGUUUCUGUUUUCAAAAUGCCAUGUGAAUAAUUGUUUUUUUAUUUUAUUUUUUUUAACAGCGCAUUUUUUGUUGUGGCACAAUUUGCUGAGUGUUAAUGAAGUUCUAAUAAUUGCUGUAGUGAGGUAAAAAAUAACUUCUGACAAUAUUUCAAAUUACAAAAUAAAACGCCUUGACCAAAAUAAAUUUUUCAUCUCUUUUUUUUUUCUAUUGCAAGUUUUAUGCUAACACAUUUUAGGACCUUUGUUUUGUUGAUCAAGAUUGCAUAUCUAAGAAUGUAAUUCACUUCCAGGUUAGGUGAGAAAGACCCCAUUGUUCCUACAAGGAUAUGGCAUCUGGGUCCCACUGAAAACCCAGUUAAAGCCCAUUAAAAUAUACCUGGGCAAACCCAUGUGGGGCCACCAUGGAAACCUUGGACAAACCCACUUGUUACCCAUAUUCUAGCCCAGAUCAGACCCAAUUGGGACCUAGGUAAAUAUUCCUCAAGGCACCUUCGUGGGUCUCAUGUAAGAUAACCAUCUGGGUCCCACUGAAGACCCAGUCAGAGCCCAUUAAAAUCUACCUGGGCAAACCCAUGUGGGGCCACCAUGGAAACCGUGGACAAACCCACUUGUUACCCAUAUUCUAGCCCAGUUCAGACCCAAUUGGGACCCACAUAAAUAUACCUGAAAUCACCCAAGUGGG